RNAcentral lists this ribosomal RNA (425 nucleotides) under uncultured bacterium. RNAcentral's name for it is "partial 16S ribosomal RNA". It matches the Rfam family "Bacterial small subunit ribosomal RNA", at positions 354 to 796 of the family's 1533-position model. The record is from RNAcentral.
GUGGGGAAUAUUGGGCAAUGGGCGAAAGCCUGACCCAGCAACGCCGCGUGAAGGAAGAAGGUUUUCGGAUCGUAAACUUCUAUCCUUGGUGAAGAUAAUGACGGUAGCCAAGAAGGAAGCCCCGGCUAACUACGUGCCAGCAGCCGCGGUAAUACGUAGGGGGCAAGCGUUGUCCGGAAUGAUUGGGCGUAAAGGGCGCGUAGGCGGCCCGGUAAGUCUGAAGUGAAUGUCCUGCUUUUAAGGUGGGAAGUGCUUUGGAUACUGUCGGGCUUGAGUGCAGGAGAGGUAAGCGGAAUUCCCGGUGUAGCGGUGAAAUGCGUAGAGAUCGGGAGGAACACCAGUGGCGAAGGCGGCUUACUGGAUUGUAACUGACGCUGAGGCGCGAAAGUGUGGGGAGCAAACAGGAUUAGAUACCCCAGUAGUCC